GUCACGCCCCGGGUGCGUCGCAGCCCCGGAACCAGGCGCCCGCCGGAGGAACCAACCAAACUCUUUCUGUAGUCCCCUCGCGGACGUAUUUCUUACAGCUCUGAGCAAAAAUUCAAAAUGAAUCA
RNAcentral lists this unclassified non-coding RNA (125 nucleotides) under Trichoderma sp. RM4. RNAcentral's name for it is "partial ITS1". The record is from RNAcentral. Lineage: Eukaryota; Fungi; Ascomycota; Sordariomycetes; Hypocreales; Hypocreaceae.